AUAUCCACUCUCAGAAUAAGUCCUCAUUACAUUUAUUGUCACACUAUUUAACAGAAUAGUGAGGACUACUAAUACUAUCAUCUGGACCGUCACUCCGUUCCCCGAUUAGUCCCGGCUACGUUCUCAUUUCCUGAAGAGAACAGUGAAAGAAAGGGUGAGCUCAACUAGCCCAGUAAGAAAUAUUAUGACUAAGAUAAUGCAGAAUAAAUUAUCAUUAGUCUUCAACAGUGUUAAACUAAUAAAAAAAAAUAGACAUCAAGUUUAACUGCAACGGAACAUGCAAUCCAUUAAAAAAGUCAAGUAGAGAAUAAAAUCUACUAUCUUUUAUGAUUUAAAAGGUUUUCAUCACUUUUAUCGCUGGGACUCAGCUUAAUAAAUAAUCCACAUCAUCCCUG
This 395-nucleotide long non-coding RNA is filed under the name Panax ginseng (ginseng). RNAcentral's name for it is "long non-coding RNA (PGIN_LNC008383)". The record is from RNAcentral. Lineage: Eukaryota; Viridiplantae; Streptophyta; Magnoliopsida; Apiales; Araliaceae.